RNAcentral lists this ribosomal RNA (444 nucleotides) under uncultured bacterium. Its description in RNAcentral is "partial 16S ribosomal RNA". It matches the Rfam family "Bacterial small subunit ribosomal RNA", at positions 354 to 795 of the family's 1533-position model. The record is from RNAcentral.
GUGAGGAAUAUUGGUCAAUGGGCGGGAGCCUGAACCAGCCAAGUCGCGUGAAGGAAGAAGGAUCUAUGGUUCGUAAACUUCUUUUGCAGGGGAAUAAAGUGCAGGACGUGUCCUGUUUUGUAUGUACCCUGAGAAUAAGGAUCGGCUAACUCCGUGCCAGCAGCCGCGGUAAUACGGAGGAUCCGAGCGUUAUCCGGAUUUAUUGGGUUUAAAGGGUGCGUAGGUGGUUUGAUAAGUCAGCGGUGAAAGUUUGCAGCUUAACUGUAAAAAUGCCGUUGAAACUGUCGGACUUGAGUGUAAAUGAGGUAGGCGGAAUGCGUGGUGUAGCGGUGAAAUGCAUAGAUAUCACGCAGAACUCCGAUUGCGAAGGCAGCUUACUAAGCUACAACUGACACUGAAGCACGAAAGCGUGGGGAUCAAACAGGAUUAGAAACCCUAGUAGCC